ACUGGUGGAACACCUAGUGCCUCUUGAUAUUCCUAUAAAAUAUAUUGAAUUAAUUGGAUUAAAAAAACAUGGAUUUUAGCACCACAACUUCAAAAACUUCCAAAAAAAAUCCCCAAACACCCAACGAACAAUUUUAGUAAAGAAAUAGAAAAGAUAACGAAACCUUACCUCUAACGAUUUAAACCCCCAAACCGAAGCAACAGAAUCCAAGCAGAUUGAAAAUAGAGAAGGAAAACAAAAUAGAAAAAGAAAACCAAGAGAAAAAGAGAAAGAACAAGACGUUGAAGAACAAAAAAAUGGGAAAUGUGGGUAUAGGGAAGUUUGGGAAAAGAAAAUAAAACAAAUUAAAUUAAAAUAAAGAAUAAUAAAAA
Molecule: long non-coding RNA, 371 nt
Filed under: Gossypium raimondii (Peruvian cotton)
Lineage: Eukaryota; Viridiplantae; Streptophyta; Magnoliopsida; Malvales; Malvaceae
Description: long non-coding RNA (GRAI_LNC004679)
Source: RNAcentral